This 465-nucleotide RNase P RNA is filed under the name Acidobacteriaceae bacterium. Its description in RNAcentral is "RNase P RNA component class A". It matches the Rfam family "Bacterial RNase P class A". Rfam says of the family: Ribonuclease P (RNase P) is a ubiquitous endoribonuclease, found in archaea, bacteria and eukarya as well as chloroplasts and mitochondria. Its best characterised activity is the generation of mature 5'-ends of tRNAs by cleaving the 5'-leader elements of precursor-tRNAs. The record is from RNAcentral. Lineage: Bacteria; Pseudomonadati; Acidobacteriota; Terriglobia; Terriglobales; Acidobacteriaceae.
CUGCGCGGCCGGGCAAUCGCCGGGUGCGUUCCUCGUGAGCGUGCCGGGAGGAAAGUCCGGUCUUCUCAGGGCAGCAUGCCGGCUAACGGCCGGGGGUGUGCGCUCAAAGCGCACGUCACGGAAAGUGCCACAGAAAAUAUACCGCCCCGCCGGUUUUGGCGAGGUUCUUGUCGCAUGACGAAGGACAUACCGAAACCGGCGGGGUAAGGGUGAAAAGGUGCGGCAAGAGCGCACCGCAGUUCGAGUAAUCGGACCGGCAGGGCAAACCCCAUGUGAAGCAAGACCAAAUAGGGGAGGAGGAGUGGCCCGCUCCGUUACAACUUCCGGGUAGGUCGCUGGAGCCUUUCAGUAAUGGAAGGCCUAGAGGAAUGGUUGCCGCCUGCUUUUCGUGAGUCUUCGCCCAGCUCAAAGGCGCCCGCUGAUGCGAAGCAGGUACAGAAACCGGCUUACAGGUCGCGCAGGCAC